This 58-nucleotide transfer RNA is filed under the name Salmo salar (Atlantic salmon). It matches the Rfam family "tRNA", at positions 8 to 63 of the family's 71-position model. Rfam says of the family: Transfer RNA (tRNA) molecules are approximately 80 nucleotides in length. Their secondary structure includes four short double-helical elements and three loops (D, anti-codon, and T loops). Further hydrogen bonds mediate the characteristic L-shaped molecular structure. tRNAs have two regions of fundamental functional importance: the anti-codon, which is responsible for specific mRNA codon recognition, and the 3' end, to which the tRNAs corresponding amino acid is attached (by aminoacyl-tRNA synthetases). tRNAs cope with the degeneracy of the genetic code in two manners: having more than one tRNA (with a specific anti-codon) for a particular amino acid; and 'wobble' base-pairing, i.e. permitting non-standard base-pairing at the 3rd anti-codon position. The record is from Rfam by way of RNAcentral. Lineage: Eukaryota; Metazoa; Chordata; Actinopteri; Salmoniformes; Salmonidae.
UGGCUCAGUUGGUAGAGCAUGGUGUUUGCAACGCCAGGGUUAUGGAUUUGAUUUCCAU